Molecule: ribosomal RNA, 1434 nt
Filed under: Triticum aestivum (bread wheat)
Lineage: Eukaryota; Viridiplantae; Streptophyta; Magnoliopsida; Poales; Poaceae
Description: partial small subunit ribosomal RNA
Source: RNAcentral
AUGGAUGCUGAAGCUGCCGUUCAGCAGCUGCGUCGUGUACCGGCGGGAGAUGGACAGCCGCGGCGUCCGGUACCGGCCGAGCGACGCUUGCACGUCCGACGCGCUGGGGUCCAGCCAGAGGUGCAGGUUGGCGUCCACGAGCCACUCGGCGAUGCCGUCCACCACGCUGAUGCCGAACUCGUGCGCCUUGCCGUCGACGAGGAGGCCGAGGAACGGAGUGAGCUCGACGUCGUAGGUGGGCAGGUCGAACGCGCCGAUGGCGGACACGGGCUGCCAGUAGAGCGGGUUGAUGCCGCCCGUGUAGAUGACGGGGAACGGCACGAAGGAGCCGGCGAAGUGGUGGUCCACGCUGACGACGACCUCGCGGUACGCGGCGUUGCCCCUCUGCGUGGUGAGGUUGUUCUCCUGGAUGUAGAGGUCCGGCGGGUUGGAGUACCAGAACUCGUCGUUGGAGUGAGGGGACACGAACACCUCGAGGACCGCACGGUAGGUGCUCGACGGAAUGGUCACGAGCGUGGAGCGCGAGUCGGACGAGUUCUGGAUGCGGAACCAGUAGCCGCUGUCGCCGGUGGCCUCCGAGAUGGGCAGGAUCAGGUCCGCCGGCUGGAAGUACGACUCCGGCAGCGUCGGUGCCGCCGGACUGGCGUCGGCGACAUCACCAUCGGAGGAGGGGGGAUUUACCACAGAGAGGUAAGCCGGAGUCCCGUGGAACUCGAAGGAGACGGUGACGUUGUAGAUGCCGGUGUACUGGUCGUUGACGAGGUUCUCGAGCAUGACCGAGAGGACGCCGUCGGGCGGGGAGCUGAGGAGGGCGGAGUAGCGGGUGACCUCCUUGCGCACGGUCCAGCUGACGCCCUCGGGGGUGGGCUCGGCGGUGGUGGUGCGGAGGAGCUCGGAGCCGUCGAGCCAGACGGCGGCGACGCGGUCGUACUGGUCGCCGGCGCAGGCGGCGGAGAAGGAGAGCACGACCUGGGACCAGGGCGCGGGGCACCCGGGCGGGGGCGCAUAGGCGGCCUUGGCCGGGGGCGCGCCGUAGGUGUUGGCGAAGGAGUAGGAGAGCACCGGCACGGUGCAGGUCGGCGCGGCGGGGGGCGGGCCCUGGAGCGGGUAGGUGGGGUCGACGUACUCCUGGGCCGCCGCAUUGCCCGUGGCCGGCGGCGCGUAGCGGACGGCGUAGCGGUCGGGGGCCUCGGCGAGAGCCGGGCCGAGGAGGUGGAGGAGGAGGAGGAGAGCCAGCGGCGGCAUCUUGCGCUGCGACGGGGAAAAGGUCGCUGGCUCACUGAUGAGUGCCGAGGGCCGGGCCGGCUUGUUCAACUCGUGUUGAGUGGUGUUUUCUGGAUCUCUUUUGGAUUAUUUUUUCUGCAAUUCUGCCGUACUUCAGAUUGGUCGUUGGUGGUGCUCGUGAGUCGUGAGAUCGUGCACGGUAGUGAAUAA